CGGCGAUGAAGAGCAUAUGCUCUCAUUGAAGGCAAUUUAUCUAUAUCCUCUGAAACUCUCUUGGCUAAAAUACGUUGAUUGUAAACACUAUGUUAAGUAAAGCAUGCCCAGUCACUUGAUUGUCCGUUUAUGGUGGUUUUAUGCGAUCAAACGUUGACGACAAAAACAACAAAGUUCCACGGUGGCCAGAGAAAAUCAGUCCUGACUUGAGGGCCGUUCCAAAGCGUUUUGUCAGGCAACUCUGGACAAGAACGGUGAGCCUCCACGAGGAAGACUGGUGUCCACGGCAACCCAUCCUCAUCAGGGUCUCCAGCAAUGCACCACAUUCACGGGACCUCGUGAUAAUAGGCUCCGUCGCAAGACACAGGAGGCAGCGGAGUCAGAGUGGCUACAUCUCUGCUGUGUCUGACCCAGGGGACGAGGUUCAGCACACGACACAUCAGUUACAGCAGAACAUUGCCUCUACACCAUCCCCCCCCCCAUCCCCCCGCCGCCACACAGAGCCCCUCCCCGCCCCCAAACCCCCUACCGCCCGGCCGUCGUCGUGAAGGCUAAUGGCUGCCAGCACUAGCACCAGUGGUGGUUCUCAUGUCUCGGCCACGGGUUCGGCUGUUGUCAGGAGAAGAGAGGCAUUAGAGGUCGUGAGCGGGCAAGGCUGAGCGGUCGAUUGACGAGGCCUCGGGUCAAGUGAGGCAGAAGAGGAGUAGGACGAGGAGGAGGAAGAGGACACACUCUCUGUGGCUGUACUGUGCAGAUGCAGUCCUCCUGGGGUUGCAGAAAACAGACCCAAGUAGAGUGGAAGAAUCGACAUCGGUGUCCUACAUUGUGGUCGUGUGUCUGAGGGACGGGUUCUACACUUAUUUUUAUUUCCUGUUGUCGGUUGACACAAACAUUUCAAAUGCUGGUGUCAGAGAGAGGCUAUGUCCCUUGGGCUUUUGUUACCAAGAAAACUCUUUAUGAGGGGUGUUUUUCUUUCAUAUAUUUUGUAAUUUCUUUGGUUAUAAAUGUUUAUCAUGAAAAUCCUCUUUUCUCCAAGCAUUUUUUAAAUGAUGACAUCUGUAUUUAUAUGGAUAUUUUUACAUUUCAAAAUACAAACAGGAUAAUUAUCUAACACCAGAUGCUAAUACGACCUAGGGCUAUUUACAUGCUGCUUUACUGUGACAACAUUAUCAGACUUGUGUAUGUCGCUGUCGUUUCACUUUUUAUACACCUUGUCAAUCAACUUUCUUUUUUUCAUCCACUCUCCUGUGACAGAUUUCUUAACUAAAGCUUUUCAUUUUUUCCAAUUAAUUUGCUCUAGGGAUGUAAAUCUGUUAAUUUAUGCAAUGGGAUAAAAUGUCUAUACUUCAUCUCCAGGAAUGGUUGCUUGUGUUUUAUCUUGACUACGAGCAUUUUGAGAAAGCCUCAGCCCCAAUGGACUUUGUUUCAAUGGCACACUGAAUCAUACCUUAGGAUUCUUAAUGAGAUUAAUUCAAUUUAAUGAUUUACUGGGAGCCAUUGCGAAAAUUGAGCCAAUCAAUAUUCUGCUAAUUUUCAGUCAUUUUCUUUGUGUAUUAUAACUUUGCAUUAGGCGGCAUAUAUUUUCUUUCCUUGUGAAAACAUUUACUCACACACAUGAAAAAACAAUACACACCGCAAAAAGGAUGCUCGCAUUUUCUUCAAAUUGACAAUUGCAAUUUUAACACAUGCAUGAAUGAAUUUCAAUGGAAAGCUCUGUAUAUGGUCCUUAUUCCCACAUCCGGUCCAAGUCGAGAGACAUUUUUGGGGUCAUAUCUGUGGCUUCUGUCUCCAUGCGUAGCCCAUCACACAUGCAAUCUCAGAAUAUCAACGCAUCUCAAAAAUAUUUAUUAGAGCCAACAUUACAAAAACACACAGCUGAACCUUUGAAUUAGACUUCCUAAUAUAUUCACUUGCAAAUUAAUGGUUUGUGCUUUCCCCCUGAAUAUCCACCAAUCACUGUUUGGAGCUGGGAGUUUCAUUGCACAUUUCUAAGGGCUUCAAAGUACUUUAUCCUCACUUUCUUCUGUUCAAAGUUCAAAGUGAGUCCUGAUGAAUACAUUUGCCCUGUUUGGACCUGGUUACCUCGUUCAAAGCACAGUUUAACAGCCCCACUCAGUAAAUGGCGGUGAGAGGUGAUAUGGUGCUGGGGUGCCUAUAGGACUCUAAGUAGUCUUGCUUAUUGAUUUUGUUUUAGUAUUAUGUACUCCAUAAAUCGUUUAAUGUUUAUGUUAGCCCGUUUUGCUCUUAGCUUGAGAGGGGUACAUUUCCAUAUUUUGUCUUGGCUUAAAUAUGUUCAAAUGAAGUGUUCUAUAUGUGUAUGUGUUUGUGUGUGUAUCUACAUAUGCCUUUAAUAAGUGGGAGAAAAUAAAUGGGAUUUUAAAUCCAACUAAAA
This is a long non-coding RNA of Gadus morhua (Atlantic cod), 2392 nucleotides long. NCBI's taxonomy places the organism in Eukaryota, Metazoa, Chordata, Actinopteri, Gadiformes, Gadidae. The record is from Ensembl.